Molecule: ribosomal RNA, 1202 nt
Filed under: Salmonella enterica
Lineage: Bacteria; Pseudomonadati; Pseudomonadota; Gammaproteobacteria; Enterobacterales; Enterobacteriaceae
Also listed under: 1 other name
Description: bacterial LSU rRNA
Rfam family: Bacterial large subunit ribosomal RNA
Source: RNAcentral
AUAGGGGAGCCGGAGGGAAACCGAGUCUUAACCGGGCGUUAAGUUGCAGGGUAUAGACCCGAAACCCGGUGAUCUAGCCAUGGGCAGGUUGAAGGUUGGGUAACACUAACUGGAGGACCGAACCGACUAAUGUUGAAAAAUUAGCGGAUGACCUGUGGCUGGGGGUGAAAGGCCAAUCAAACCGGGAGAUAGCUGGUUCUCCCCGAAAGCUAUUUAGGUAGCGCCUCGUGAAUUCAUCUCCGGGGGUAGAGCACUGUUUCGGCUAGGGGGCCAUCCCGGCUUACCAACCCGAUGCAAACUGCGAAUACCGGAGAAUGUUAUCACGGGAGACACACGGCGGGUGCUAACGUCUGUCGUGAAGAGGGAAACAACCCAGACCGCCAGCUAAGGUCCCAAAGUCAUGGUUAAGUGGGAAACGAUGUGGGAAGGCCCAGACAGCCAGGAUGUUGGCUUAGAAGCAGCCAUCAUUUAAAGAAAGCGUAAUAGCUCACUGGUCGAGUCGGCCUGCGCGGAAGAUGUAACGGGGCUAAACCAUGCACCGAAGCUGCGGCAGCGAACGUAUCACCCAAGACAACUUUACGGAGUUAACGAUUGACGGAGCGAAGCGACGUCAAAGCGUUCAUUAAAGUCGAGUUGGCUUAGGGAUACGUUCGUUGGGUAGGGGAGCGUUCUGUAAGCCUGUGAAGGUGGCCUGUGAGGGUUGCUGGAGGUAUCAGAAGUGCGAAUGCUGACAUAAGUAACGAUAAAGCGGGUGAAAAGCCCGCUCGCCGGAAGACCAAGGGUUCCUGUCCAACGUUAAUCGGGGCAGGGUGAGUCGACCCCUAAGGCGAGGCCGAAAGGCGUAGUCGAUGGGAAACGGGUUAAUAUUCCCGUACUUGGUGUUACUGCGAAGGGGGGACGGAGAAGGCUAUGUUGGCCGGGCGACGGUUGUCCCGGUUUAAGCGUGUAGGCUGGUUUUCCAGGCAAAUCCGGAAAAUCAAGGCUGAGGCGUGAUGACGAGGCACUACGGUGCUGAAGCAACAAAUGCCCUGCUUCCAGGAAAAGCCUCUAAGCAUCAGGUAACAUCAAAUCGUACCCCAAACCGACACAGGUGGUCAGGUAGAGAAUACCAAGGCGCUUGAGAGAACUCGGGUGAAGGAACUAGGCAAAAUGGUGCCGUAACUUCGGGAGAAGGCACGCUGACAUGUAGGUGAAGUGAUUUA